RNAcentral lists this unclassified non-coding RNA (325 nucleotides) under plant metagenome. RNAcentral's name for it is "partial contains 5.8S ribosomal RNA, internal transcribed spacer 2, and large subunit ribosomal RNA". The stretch from base 1 to 105 matches the Rfam family "5.8S ribosomal RNA", at positions 50 to 154 of the family's 154-position model. The record is from RNAcentral.
GAAAUGCGAUAAGUAAUGUGAAUUGCAGAAUUCAGUGAAUCAUCGAAUCUUUGAACGCACAUUGCGCCCGUUAGCAUUCUAGCGGGCAUGCCUGUCCGAGCGUCAUUUCAACCCUCAGGGUCCCCGUUUCGGCGGGGAACCUGGUGUUGGGGAUCGGCCCGCCCCGCGCGGCGCCGUCCCCCAAAUCUAGUGGCGGUCUCGCUGCAGCCUCCCCUGCGUAGUAGUUUACAACCUCGCACCGGAGCGCGGCGCGGCCACGCCGUAAAACCCCCGACUUUCUGAACGUUGACCUCGGAUCAGGUAGGAAUACCCGCUGAACUUAAGC